UACGGAGGGUGCAAGCGUUAUCCGGAUUUACUGGGCUUAAAGGGUGCGUAGGUGGGUUGGUAAGUCAGUGGUGAAAUACUUUCGCUUAACGAAGGAACUGCCAUUGAUACUAUCAAUCUUGAAUGUAGUGGAGGUAGGCGGAAUGCGUCAUGUAGCGGUGAAAUGCUUAGAUAUGACGCAGAACACCAAUUGCGAAGGCAGCUUGCUACACUACUAUUGACACUGAGGCACGAAAGCGUGGGGAUCAAACAGG
Molecule: ribosomal RNA, 253 nt
Filed under: uncultured bacterium
Lineage: Bacteria
Description: partial 16S ribosomal RNA
Rfam family: Bacterial small subunit ribosomal RNA
Source: RNAcentral